UACGGAGGAUGCAAGCGUUAUCCGGAAUCACUGGGCGUAAAGCGUCUGUAGGUGGUUUAAUAAGUCAACUGUUAAAUCUUGAGGCUCAACCUCAAAAUCGCAGUCGAAACUAUUAGGCUAGAGUAUAGUAGGGGUAAAGGGAAUUUCCAGUGGAGCGGUGAAAUGCGUAGAGAUUGGAAAGAACACCGAUGGCGAAGGCAAUUUACUGGGCUAUUACUAACACUCAGAGACGAAAGCUAGGGUAGCAAAUGGG
RNAcentral lists this ribosomal RNA (253 nucleotides) under uncultured bacterium. RNAcentral describes it as "partial 16S ribosomal RNA". It matches the Rfam family "Bacterial small subunit ribosomal RNA", at positions 524 to 776 of the family's 1533-position model. The record is from RNAcentral.